This is a long non-coding RNA of Sipha flava (yellow sugarcane aphid), 715 nucleotides long. RefSeq lists it as uncharacterized. NCBI's taxonomy places the organism in Eukaryota, Metazoa, Arthropoda, Insecta, Hemiptera, Aphididae. The transcript has 2 exons. The record is from RefSeq and is a predicted model, not a curated record.
UUAAACUAAUUAAAUCAAAAAAAUACUUAACUCUAGGUCAUUGUUUGAUAGGAAAAUUUAAGAAAAUUAUGGUUUUCAUAUUAUUGAUUAUAUUAAAAUGUUAUUAUAAAAUGGAUGGUACAAUCUGUAACAAUCGAGUUAAAUUCACAGAACAUUGUUAAGUAGUAAAAUUUUUAAUAUAGUUAGUUAUAUGUUUGUGAAAAAAGAUUCUAAUCUCUAUAUUACCCUUAUCAGUAAUUAAGUAUUUUUUAUUUUAUAAAAAUAAUAUUGAUCGUUCGUAUUUUUUUCGCGAUAUAAUAAACAUUUCAUCCUAAACCCUUUUAAAUCUUCUAAAAUCUAUCGUAAUUACUCAGCGUCUAAUGUUCAAUGUGUGCUCGUGACACACUAAUAUUAUUAUUAAAGACGUAAUUUGGACUCGACGACAUUGUUGUUUUGGGGCCUACCUGUUACAGAACAGAUCGAGCGGAGUGCGCGCGUCAGACACAGGAACAGGGAGAGGAUGCGUGUACGAGAUUCGAGGCUAUAUGAAAUGUUUUCAGCUUCAUUUCAACACGGCGCACAUAAGCCACGGACCGGUGUUCACGAGAUGGAUAGGUGGUAUAUGCUUGUGUUUGUAUUAAUUAUUAUUAUUAUUAUUAUUAUCGUCGUUUUAGUGAACUCGUUUUUUGUCAACCCGAAAAGCGCGAAGGCGGCAGCACUGCUGAUGCACGGUAAA